This 2905-nucleotide ribosomal RNA is filed under the name Yersinia enterocolitica. Its description in RNAcentral is "bacterial LSU rRNA". It matches the Rfam family "Bacterial large subunit ribosomal RNA". Lineage: Bacteria; Pseudomonadati; Pseudomonadota; Gammaproteobacteria; Enterobacterales; Yersiniaceae. The record is from RNAcentral.
UUAAGCGACUAAGCGUACACGGUGGAUGCCUAGGCAGUCAGAGGCGAUGAAGGGCGUGCUAAUCUGCGAAAAGCGUCGGUAAGGUGAUAUGAACCGUUACAACCGACGAUACCCGAAUGGGGAAACCCAGUGCAAUUCGUUGCACUAUUGCAUGGUGAAUACAUAGCCAUGCAAGGCGAACCGGGGGAACUGAAACAUCUAAGUACCCCGAGGAAAAGAAAUCAACCGAGAUUCCCCCAGUAGCGGCGAGCGAACGGGGAGGAGCCCAGAACCUGAAUCAGCGUAUGUGUUAGUGGAAGCGUCUGGAAAGUCGCACGGUACAGGGUGAUAGUCCCGUACACAAAAAUGCAUAUGUUGUGAGUUCGAUGAGUAGGGCGGGACACGUGACAUCCUGUCUGAAUAUGGGGGGACCAUCCUCCAAGGCUAAAUACUCCUGACUGACCGAUAGUGAACCAGUACCGUGAGGGAAAGGCGAAAAGAACCCCGGCGAGGGGAGUGAAAUAGAACCUGAAACCGUGUACGUACAAGCAGUGGGAGCACCUUCGUGGUGUGACUGCGUACCUUUUGUAUAAUGGGUCAGCGACUUAUAUUUUGUAGCAAGGUUAACCGAAUAGGGGAGCCGUAGGGAAACCGAGUCUUAACUGGGCGAAUAGUUGCAAGGUAUAGACCCGAAACCCGGUGAUCUAGCCAUGGGCAGGUUGAAGGUUGGGUAACACUAACUGGAGGACCGAACCGACUAAUGUUGAAAAAUUAGCGGAUGACUUGUGGCUGGGGGUGAAAGGCCAAUCAAACCGGGAGAUAGCUGGUUCUCCCCGAAAGCUAUUUAGGUAGCGCCUCGUGAACUCAUCUUCGGGGGUAGAGCACUGUUUCGGCUAGGGGGUCAUCCCGACUUACCAAACCGAUGCAAACUCCGAAUACCGAAGAAUGUUAUCACGGGAGACACACGGCGGGUGCUAACGUCCGUCGUGAAGAGGGAAACAACCCAGACCGCCAGCUAAGGUCCCAAAGUCAUGGUUAAGUGGGAAACGAUGUGGGAAGGCAUAGACAGCCAGGAUGUUGGCUUAGAAGCAGCCAUCAUUUAAAGAAAGCGUAAUAGCUCACUGGUCGAGUCGGCCUGCGCGGAAGAUGUAACGGGGCUAAACCAUGCACCGAAGCUGCGGCAGCGACGCUUAGGCGUUGUUGGGUAGGGGAGCGUUCUGUAAGCCGUUGAAGGUGACCUGUGAGGGUUGCUGGAGGUAUCAGAAGUGCGAAUGCUGACAUAAGUAACGAUAAUGCGGGUGAAAAACCCGCACGCCGGAAGACCAAGGGUUCCUGUCCAACGUUAAUCGGGGCAGGGUGAGUCGACCCCUAAGGCGAGGCUGAAAAGCGUAGUCGAUGGGAAACAGGUUAAUAUUCCUGUACUUGGUGUUACUGCGAAGGGGGGACGGAGAAGGCUAGGCUAGCCGGGCGACGGUUGUCCCGGUUUAAGCAUGUAGGCGGAGUGACUUGGUAAAUCCGGUUGCUUAUCAACGCUGAGGUGUGAUGACGAGUCACUACGGUGAUGAAGUAGUUGAUGCCAAGCUUCCAGGAAAAGCCUCUAAGCAUCAGGUAACAUUAAAUCGUACCCCAAACCGACACAGGUGGUCAGGUAGAGAAUACUCAGGCGCUUGAGAGAACUCGGGUGAAGGAACUAGGCAAAAUGGUGCCGUAACUUCGGGAGAAGGCACGCUGGCAUUAGGUAAAGGGACUUGCUCCCGGCGCCGAAGCCAGUCGCAGAUACCAGCUGGCUGCAACUGUUUAAUAAAAACACAGCACUGUGCAAACACGAAAGUGGACGUAUACGGUGUGACGCCUGCCCGGUGCUGGAAGGUUAAUUGAUGGGGUCAGCCGCAAGGCGAAGCUCUUGAUCGAAGCCCCAGUAAACGGCGGCCGUAACUAUAACGGUCCUAAGGUAGCGAAAUUCCUUGUCGGGUAAGUUCCGACCUGCACGAAUGGCGUAAUGAUGGCCAGGCUGUCUCCACCCGAGACUCAGUGAAAUUGAACUCGCUGUGAAGAUGCAGUGUACCCGCGGCAAGACGGAAAGACCCCGUGAACCUUUACUAUAGCUUGACACUGAACAUUGAGCCUUGAUGUGUAGGAUAGGUGGGAGGCAUUGAAGUGUGGACGCCAGUCUGCAUGGAGCCAACCUUGAAAUACCACCCUUUAAUGUUUGAUGUUCUAACUCGGCCCCAUAAUCUGGGGUGAGGACAGUGUCUGGUGGGUAGUUUGACUGGGGCGGUCUCCUCCCAAAGAGUAACGGAGGAGCACGAAGGUUAGCUAAUCACGGUCGGACAUCGUGAGGUUAGUGCAAAGGCAUAAGCUAGCUUGACUGCGAGAGUGACGGCUCGAGCAGGUACGAAAGUAGGUCUUAGUGAUCCGGUGGUUCUGAAUGGAAGGGCCAUCGCUCAACGGAUAAAAGGUACUCCGGGGAUAACAGGCUGAUACCGCCCAAGAGUUCAUAUCGACGGCGGUGUUUGGCACCUCGAUGUCGGCUCAUCACAUCCUGGGGCUGAAGUAGGUCCCAAGGGUAUGGCUGUUCGCCAUUUAAAGUGGUACGCGAGCUGGGUUUAGAACGUCGUGAGACAGUUCGGUCCCUAUCUGCCGUGGGCGUUGGAAGAUUGAGAGGGGCUGCUCCUAGUACGAGAGGACCGGAGUGGACGAAUCACUGGUGUUCGGGUUGUCAUGCCAAUGGCAUUGCCCGGUAGCUAAAUUCGGAAGAGAUAACCGCUGAAAGCAUCUAAGCGGGAAACUUGCCUCGAGAUGAGUCUUCCCUGGGGCUUUAAGCCCCCUGAAGGAACGUUAAAGACUAUGACGUUGAUAGGCUGGGUGUGUAAGUGCAGCGAUGCAUUGAGCUAACCAGUACUAAUGAUCCGUGAGGCUUAACCUU